This 1468-nucleotide ribosomal RNA is filed under the name uncultured organism. RNAcentral describes it as "SSU rRNA". It matches the Rfam family "Bacterial small subunit ribosomal RNA". The record is from RNAcentral.
CGAACGCUGGCGGCGUGCCUAAUACAUGCAAGUAGAACGCUGAAGAGAGGAGCUUGCUCUUCUUGGAUGAGUUGCGAACGGGUGAGUAACGCGUAGGUAACCUGCCUUGUAGCGGGGGAUAACUAUUGGAAACGAUAGCUAAUACCGCAUAACAAUGGAUGACACAUGUCAUUUAUUUGAAAGGGGCAAAUGCUCCACUACAAGAUGGACCUGCGUUGUAUUAGCUAGUAGGUGAGGUAACGGCUCACCUAGGCGACGAUACAUAGCCGACCUGAGAGGGUGAUCGGCCACACUGGGACUGAGACACGGCCCAGACUCCUACGGGAGGCAGCAGUAGGGAAUCUUCGGCAAUGGGGGCAACCCUGACCGAGCAACGCCGCGUGAGUGAAGAAGGUUUUCGGAUCGUAAAGCUCUGUUGUAAGUCAAGAACGAGUGUGAGAGUGGAAAGUUCACACUGUGACGGUAGCUUACCAGAAAGGGACGGCUAACUACGUGCCAGCAGCCGCGGUAAUACGUAGGUCCCGAGCGUUGUCCGGAUUUAUUGGGCGUAAAGCGAGCGCAGGCGGUUUGAUAAGUCUGAAGUUAAAGGCUGUGGCUCAACCAUAGUUCGCUUUGGAAACUGUCAAACUUGAGUGCAGAAGGGGAGAGUGGAAUUCCAUGUGUAGCGGCGAAAUGCGUAGAUAUAUGGAGGAACACCGGUGGCGAAAGCGGCUCUCUGGUCUGUAACUGACGCUGAGGCUCGAAAGCGUGGGGAGCGAACAGGAUUAGAUACCCUGGUAGUCCACGCCGUAAACGAUGAGUGCUAGGUGUUGGAUCCUUUCCGGGAUUCAGUGCCGCAGCUAACGCAUUAAGCACUCCGCCUGGGGAGUACGACCGCAAGGUUGAAACUCAAAGGAAUUGACGGGGGCCCGCACAAGCGGUGGAGCAUGUGGUUUAAUUCGAAGCAACGCGAAGAACCUUACCAGGUCUUGACAUCCCGAUGCUAUUUCUAGAGAUAGAAAGUUACUUCGGUACAUCGGUGACAGGUGGUGCAUGGUUGUCGUCAGCUCGUGUCGUGAGAUGUUGGGUUAAGUCCCGCAACGAGCGCAACCCCUAUUGUUAGUUGCCAUCAUUCAGUUGGGCACUCUAGCGAGACUGCCGGUAAUAAACCGGAGGAAGGUGGGGAUGACGUCAAAUCAUCAUGCCCCUUAUGACCUGGGCUACACACGUGCUACAAUGGUUGGUACAACGAGUUGCGAGUCGGUGACGGCAAGCUAAUCUCUUAAAGCCAAUCUCAGUUCGGAUUGUAGGCUGCAACUCGCCUACAUGAAGUCGGAAUCGCUAGUAAUCGCGGAUCAGCACGCCGCGGUGAAUACGUUCCCGGGCCUUGUACACACCGCCCGUCACACCACGAGAGUUUGUAACACCCGAAGUCGGUGAGGUAACCUUUUGGAGCCAGCCGCCUAAGGUGGGAUAGAUGAUUGGGGUG